RNAcentral lists this ribosomal RNA (277 nucleotides) under uncultured prokaryote. RNAcentral describes it as "partial 16S ribosomal RNA". It matches the Rfam family "Bacterial small subunit ribosomal RNA", at positions 524 to 800 of the family's 1533-position model. The record is from RNAcentral.
GACGAACCGUCCAAACGUUAUUCGGAAUUACUGGGCUUAAAGGGUGCGUAGGCGGCUCUGCAAGUUGGGUGUGAAAUCCCUCGGCUCAACCGAGGAAUGGCGCCCAAAACUGUGGAGCUCGAGGGAGACAGAGGUGAGUGGAACUUGUGGUGGAGCGGUGAAAUGCGUUGAUAUCAGGAGGAACACCAGUGGCGAAGGCGGCUUUCUGGACGAUAACUGACGCUGAUGCACGAAAGCGUGGGGAGCAAACAGGAUUAGAUACCCCGGUAGUCCCUGA